CGAAUGGGGCAAGCGUUGUUCGGAAUCACUGGGCUUAAAGCGUGCGUAGGCGGAUCUGCAAGUCAGAAGUGAAAUCCCCGGGCUUAACCCGGGAACUGCUUUUGAAACUGCAAAUCUGGAAUCCGGGAGGGGUUAGGAGAAUUCCUAGUGUAGAGGUGAAAUUCGCAGAUAUUAGGAGGAAUACCAGUGGCGUAGGCGCCUAACUGGACCGGUAUUGACGCUGAGGUACGAAAGCGUGGGUAGCAAACAGGAUUAGAUACCCUGGUAGUCCACGCCAUAAACGAUGUGUGCUAGUUGUCGGAGCCUUAGGCUUCGGUGACGGAGAGAAAUCAUUAAGCACACCGCCUGGGGAGUACGGUCGCAAGAUUA
This 369-nucleotide ribosomal RNA is filed under the name uncultured organism. Its description in RNAcentral is "bacterial SSU rRNA". It matches the Rfam family "Bacterial small subunit ribosomal RNA", at positions 526 to 896 of the family's 1533-position model. The record is from RNAcentral.